GAUGAACGCUGGCGGCGUGCCUAAUACAUGCAAGUCGAGCGAACGGACGAGAAGCUUGCUUUUCUGAUGUUAGCGGCGGACGGGUGAGUAACACGUGGAUAACCUACCUAUAGGACUGGGAUAACUUCGGGAAACCGGAGCUAAUACCGGAUAAUAUUUUGAACCGCAUGGUUCAUAAGUGAAAGACGGUCUUGCUGUCACUUAUAGAUGGAUCCGCGCUGCAUUAGCUAGUUGGUAAGGUAACGGCUUACCAAGGCAACGAUGCAUAGCCGACCUGAGAGGGUGAUCGGCCACACUGGAACUGAGACACGGUCCAGACUCCUACGGGAGGCAGCAGUAGGGAAUCUUCCGCAAUGGGCGAAAGCCUGACGGAGCAACGCCGCGUGAGUGAUGAAGGUCUUCGGAUCGUAAAACUCUGUUAUUAGGGAAGAACAUAUGUGUAAGUAACUGUGCACAUCUUGACGGUACCUAAUCAGAAAGCCACGGCUAACUACGUG
Molecule: ribosomal RNA, 497 nt
Filed under: uncultured bacterium
Lineage: Bacteria
Description: partial 16S ribosomal RNA
Rfam family: Bacterial small subunit ribosomal RNA
Source: RNAcentral